UAUACUGUAGGAAGUGUUUCUAUGGAUCAAAUCUGUAAUGGAAGAGAAUGGGAGUAACAUUACAACUGACCAACUUAAAGAUUAUGUAUGGAAGACACUGAAGAGUGGAAAGGUUGUAGUGAUUAGAGAGAAGCUUUCAGGACUUUAUGGAUCUGAACAACAAUGGUUGAGAGCAACACAAAUGCUUAGUGGCAUUGAGUUGGACUCAGGAAUCAGGAUGCUUGAUGACACAAACAAAUUAUCCAAGUGUGUCCAGAUUGCAUGACUCUAUUUGGAGUGAAUGCUGAAGCUUUUAUCAACAAAGCCUCGUUUUUGGUCACAAACAACAACCAGGAAGUUCUGAACUUACAAUACAAGGUCCGCUAUGCGAAAAUUUUAGAUCUAAAGCGUAAAUUCUUGGAAGCUGCACUUCGAUACUCUGGUAUCUCUCAAAUUGAGCAGCGCCAAAUUGGGGAUGAGUAAGGAUUACUCCAUUCAGUUGUAGAUUUGUUUCUCUCUUCUGCAAUUUACUCCCUUUUAAUGUUCUGUCUUGUAUGGUUCUUUGUUGACUUGCUGGUGUAGUCUCAGUGGAACAUAUUAUUAUUCCCUUUCAGGAACGAAGAUAUGAAUCACCCUCACCCCUCUAGAGAAAUCAGUUUACUCAUUCAAGUUCUGGAGUUUCAUAGUUUUCUGAGUUUACUUCAGUCUUGCAUGUAUUAGCUUCCUCUUUGUGCCCCUAUCUAUGCCUAUUUCUUGUGUGCAAACGCUCCAUUCUAUGUGUGCAUGUGACUUGAUGGUCAAUAUGUGUGUGGCUUGAC
Molecule: long non-coding RNA, 797 nt
Organism: Triticum dicoccoides
Lineage: Eukaryota; Viridiplantae; Streptophyta; Magnoliopsida; Poales; Poaceae
Exons: 5
Source: RefSeq, a predicted model, not a curated record